UGGAUAACCUGCCCUCGGCACCGGAAUAGCCCGGGGAAACCCGGAUUAAUGCCGGAUAGCCCCACAUCCCUGCGGGGAACGUGGGAAAAGGUAGCUUCGGCCUCUGGCCGAGGAUGGGUCCGCGGUGGAUUAGCUUGUUGGUGCGGGUAAUGGCCCACCAAGGCGACGAUCCAUAGCUGGUCUGAGAGGACGAUCAGCCACACUGGGACUGAGACACGGCCCAGACUCCUACGGGAGCAG
This 240-nucleotide ribosomal RNA is filed under the name uncultured bacterium. RNAcentral's name for it is "partial 16S ribosomal RNA". It matches the Rfam family "Bacterial small subunit ribosomal RNA", at positions 118 to 347 of the family's 1533-position model. The record is from RNAcentral.